CCUACGGGGAGCAGCAGUGAGGAAUAUUGGUCAAUGGACGGAAGUCUGAACCAGCCAUGCCGCGUGCAGGAAGACGGCCCUAUGAGUUGUAAACUGCUUUUGUACAAGGGUAAACCUGUAUACGUGUAUUCAGCUGAAAGUACUGUACGAAUAAGGACCGGCUAACUCCGUGCCAGCAGCCGCGGUAAUACGGAGGAGCCAAGCGUUUUCCGGAUUUAUUGGGUUUAAAGGGUGCGUAGGCGGAUUGAUAAGUUGGAGGUGAAAGGUCCGAGCUUAACUCGGGAACUGCCUCUAAUACUGUUGAGCUAGAGAGUAGAUGCGGUAGGCGGAAUGUAUGGUGUAGCGGUGAAAUGCUUAGAGAUCAUACAGAACACCGAUUGCGAAGGCAGCUUACCAAUCUGUGUCUGACGUUGAGGCACGAAAGCGUGGGGAGCAAACAGGAUUAGAUACCCUUGUAGUC
Molecule: ribosomal RNA, 460 nt
Filed under: uncultured bacterium
Lineage: Bacteria
Description: partial 16S ribosomal RNA
Rfam family: Bacterial small subunit ribosomal RNA
Source: RNAcentral